CCUCCGCCGCUCCCACCAGGAUCCAACCAUGGCGGCCGCCUCUCCCCUGCUUCAAGCAUGGUGGCCGUCUCCCCCUGCUUCAACCGCAACGGCCCUCCCUCCAUGCGCUCCGCCAACCGCCACCGUCGCCUUGAUCCGACCAACCACCGCGGCCCACCGUCUUGCCUUCCUCGGGGUGCCCCGCCCACCCUUCAUAUGAGGGCCGGUGCCCGUGGUCGUUUCCUGGAUCCCGGCGACCACAUCCAUCCACCACGCACUGCCACAGAGGACCUGCGCUCAAAUCCCUCCUCCGCAGUGGUGUUCGAACCGCAGCAUGGGGUACCGUUGACCUUCCACCGGAGGCCGCUUUGACCUCACUGGAAGCCACUCCCUCUCCACGCGCACGAUCGGUCCCGCCUCCUCCCGGCGCGCCACCGCCCUGACUCCUCCCUGCGUGCCGCCUCUCGACGCGCCGCCACCUCUCGUCCUCCCGGUGCGAGGCCACCGUACCCACCUCCUCCUGGCGCGCCGUCGCCUAGCCUCCUUCCGGCGCGAGGCUUGCCAUCUCCUUCAGGGCGAGGUGGGUUUGGACUUCAGCCCCUCCUGCUCCUCCCGGGCACCGCCGUGCGUUCCCACCCAGAACCCCGCUUGCUCCAGUGCACCGCUGCUGGUCCCUGCCCUGCACCCCCUCCUCCCAUGCGCAGCUGCGCGUCCCGCCCUGAACCUUGCCUCCUCCCAGCCGGCUCAGCCCUGCCCUGCACCCUGCCUAUGCUUUAUGUCCACGGCUAACUAUUUGAUGUUUGUCUAUCACUAGGUGCUAAUUCUUUAUCUAAUUGAUUCUGAUCUACAGCAAACAGUGUUCCCAAAUCUACAGAAGGAGCUCCUGAUUUUUUAUGUCUGAAGUUCAGGUGUACCAUGGAGACUACUGCGGCCGUUUGAAAUACUAGCAGGCGCCGUGCUAGCCAGCUGCAGGUCACGGUCUCCUCGAGUUGCAUGUCGUCUAAAUCUGGAGUUCUGGACUGUUUGAUCUACCGGGUUGGCCUGCACCGACCGUCGAAGGCUACCGAGGUGGUGCCCCACUGCUGCCUGCAUCUCCCCGCUCUUUAGGUUCAGAAAAGUUCAUCUUGGCGUGGGGCGAAAGUUCAGCUGGUGGAGCACUGACAACAACAACGUUUUACUGUGUUGUGUAGCCUACGGCUGCAGCUCCAUUUUCCUCCUGAGACUGUUUUAAUUCUUGUGUUUCUUCUACUGCCAACAGAGAAAAAUAGCCAGCACCGAGCUACUACUGUUUGUUUUGCUUGAACAACCAAUUUAGGCAUUACCAGGAAGAAGACAAAGCAAGAAAAUUAUGGAGUGAAAGAGAUAAAAGAGUAGUGUGCCUACAUGGUGUGGAUAUGAAACAUGCUGUGUGUGAGAGGAUAAGGAAUGUGUGUUACUAUUCAGUGAUAAAAACAAUUUGUGGUUCAAAGAAAAAGCAAUGUUCUAUUACCUA
RNAcentral lists this ribosomal RNA (1471 nucleotides) under Triticum aestivum (bread wheat). RNAcentral's name for it is "partial small subunit ribosomal RNA". Lineage: Eukaryota; Viridiplantae; Streptophyta; Magnoliopsida; Poales; Poaceae. The record is from RNAcentral.